RNAcentral lists this microRNA precursor (103 nucleotides) under Manihot esculenta (cassava). RNAcentral's name for it is "miR395d stem-loop (mes-MIR395d)". Its record names the gene mes-MIR395d. It matches the Rfam family "mir-395 microRNA precursor family". From Rfam's summary of the family: mir-395 was identified in both Arabidopsis thaliana and Oryza sativa computationally and was later experimentally verified. mir-395 is thought to target mRNAs coding for ATP sulphurylases. The record is from miRBase by way of RNAcentral. Lineage: Eukaryota; Viridiplantae; Streptophyta; Magnoliopsida; Malpighiales; Euphorbiaceae.
GUCAGGUGUCUCCUGGAGUUCCCCUGAUCACUUCACUGGGGUGGGCUACAGUUUCCAGGAAACCCUACUGAAGUGUUUGGGGGAACUCCGGUGGCCAUUUGAC